CAGGCGCAUCCCGAAAAGCCUUCAAAAGAGUAGGGG
Pedobacter ginsenosidimutans is the source of this 36-nucleotide non-coding RNA. The record is from Rfam. Lineage: Bacteria; Pseudomonadati; Bacteroidota; Sphingobacteriia; Sphingobacteriales; Sphingobacteriaceae.